This 96-nucleotide signal recognition particle RNA is filed under the name Mycoplasmopsis phocirhinis. Its description in RNAcentral is "Mycoplasma phocirhinis Bacterial small signal recognition particle RNA". It matches the Rfam family "Bacterial small signal recognition particle RNA". From Rfam's summary of the family: The signal recognition particle (SRP) is a universally conserved ribonucleoprotein involved in the co-translational targeting of proteins to membranes. Archaeal SRP consists of a 7S RNA and homologues of the eukaryotic SRP19 and SRP54 proteins. Lineage: Bacteria; Bacillati; Mycoplasmatota; Mycoplasmoidales; Metamycoplasmataceae. The record is from Rfam by way of RNAcentral.
UAAAAACGCUUAUAGAACAAUAACAUCGUAAUUGGUCAGGACGGGAACGUAGCAGCCACGUCGAAAAGUGUUGUGUCUAUAAGUACUUUUUUUUUA